Molecule: RNA transcript, 1400 nt
Organism: Otolemur garnettii (small-eared galago)
Lineage: Eukaryota; Metazoa; Chordata; Mammalia; Primates; Galagidae
Gene name: protein SET-like
Exons: 1
Source: RefSeq, a predicted model, not a curated record
AUGGCCCCCAAAUGCCAGUCUCCGCUCCCACCUCAAAAGAAGAAACCAAGACUGCCUACUGCUCCCAGACCGGAGGACAACUUCGGGCUCUCAGGGAUUGCCAAAAAAGAAAGAAAAAUAAUAGCAGGAAGCAACUGAACAUAUUGAUGAGGUAUAAAAUGAAAUAGACAGACUUAAUGAACAAGCCAGUGAGGAGAUUUUGAAAGUAGAACAGAAAUAUAACAAACUCCGCCAACCAUUUUUUCAGAAGAGGUCAGAAUUGAUCGCCAAAAUCCCAAAUUUGGGGGUAACAGCAUUUGUCAACCAUCCACAAGUGUCUGCGCUGCUGGGGGAGGAGGAUGAAGAGGCACUGCAUUAUUUGACCAGAGUUGAAGUGACAGAAUUUGAAGAUAUUAAAUCAGGUUACAGAAUAGAUUUUUAUUUUGAUGAAAACCCUUACUUCGAAAAUAAAGUUCUCUCCAAAGACUUUCAUCUGAACAAGAGUGGUGAUCCAUCUUCAAAGUCCACUGAAAUCAAAUGGAAAUCUGUCAAGGAUUUGACGAAACGUUCCAGUCAAACACAGAACAAAGCCAGCAGGAAGAGGCAGCAUGAGGAACCAGAGAGCUUCUUUACCUGUUUCCUGACCAUUCUGAUGCAGGUGCAGAUGAAUGAGGAGAGGUCAUCAAAGAAGAUAUUUGGCCAAAUCCAUUACAGUACUACUUGGUUCCUGAUUAGGAUGAUGAAGAAGGAGAAGGAGAAGAAGAUGAUGAUGAAGAAGAAGGUUUGGAAGAUAUUGAUGAAGAAGGGGAUAGGGAUGAAGGUGAGGAAGAUGAAGAUGAUGAUGAAGGGGAGGAAGGAGAGGAGGAGGAAGGAGAAGAUGACUAACAGGACACUGAUGGAUUCCAACCUUUUUUAAAAUUUUCUCCAGUCCCUGGGAGCAAGUUGCAGUCUUUUUUUUUUUCCUCUUGUGCUCAGUCGCCCUGUUCUUGAGGUCUCUUUUCUCUACACCAUGAUUCUCAACUUAUUUGGGGGGGAAAUACCUUGAGCAGAAUACAAUGGGAAAAGAAUCUCUACUCGUUUCUGUUCCAAAUUCAUUUUUAUCCCUUCCUGUCUCAACAAAAACUGUAUGGAAUCAACCCCACCGAGCUCUGUGGGAAAAAAGAAAAACCUGCUCCCUUGGCUCUGCUGGAAGCUGGAGGGUGCCAGGCCCCUGUGUAGUAGUGGAUAGAAUUCUAUUUCUAGCUUUUUCCCUCCUUUCUCUGUAUAUUGGGCUCAGAGAGUACACUGUGUCUCUAUGUGAAUAUGGACAGUCAGCAUUUACCAACAUGUAUCUGUCUACUUUCUCUUGUUUAAAAAAAAAAAAACUUUAAAAAAUGGGGCAUAGAAGGUCAGCAGAGGGUGGGUUUGAGAUGUUUGGGUGG